RNAcentral lists this ribosomal RNA (403 nucleotides) under bacterium. Its description in RNAcentral is "partial 16S ribosomal RNA". It matches the Rfam family "Bacterial small subunit ribosomal RNA", at positions 355 to 776 of the family's 1533-position model. The record is from RNAcentral.
UGGGGAAUAUUGCACAAUGGGGGAAACCCUGAUGCAGCGACGCCGCGUGAACGAAGAAGGUAUUCGUAUCGUAAAGUUCUGUCCUAUGGGAAGAUAAUGACAGUACCAUAGAAGAAAGCUCCGGCUAAAUACGUGCCAGCAGCCGCGGUAAUACGGAUGGAGCGAGCGUUGUCCGGAAUUAUUCGGCGUAAAGGGUACGCAGGCGGUUUAAUAAGUCGAAUGUUAAAGAUCGGGGCUCAACCCCGCAAAGCAUUGGAAACUGAUAAACUUGAGUAGUGGAGAGGAAAGUGGAAUUCAUAGUGUAGUGGUGAAGUACGUAGAUAAUAGUAGGAAUACCACUAGCGAAGGAGACUUUCUGGACACAAACUUACGCUGAGGUACGAAAGCGUGGGGAGCAAACAGG